CGGCGGACGGGUGAGUAACACGUGGGUAACCUACCUAUAAGACUGGGAUGACUUCGGGAAACCGGAGCUAAUACCGGAUAAUAUUCGAACCGCAUGGUUCGAUAGUGAAAGAUGGUUUUGCUAUCACUUAUAGAUGGACCUGCGCCGUAUUAGCUAGUUGGUAAGGUAGCGGCUUACCAAGGCGACGAUACGUAGCCGACCUGAGAGGGUGAUCGGCCACACUGGAACUGAGACACGGUCCAGACUCCUACGGGAGGCAGCAGCG
This 265-nucleotide ribosomal RNA is filed under the name uncultured Staphylococcus sp. RNAcentral's name for it is "partial 16S ribosomal RNA". It matches the Rfam family "Bacterial small subunit ribosomal RNA", at positions 96 to 356 of the family's 1533-position model. The record is from RNAcentral. Lineage: Bacteria; Bacillati; Bacillota; Bacilli; Caryophanales; Staphylococcaceae.